This is a long non-coding RNA of Aegilops tauschii subsp. strangulata, 686 nucleotides long. RefSeq lists it as uncharacterized. The record is from RefSeq and is a predicted model, not a curated record. NCBI's taxonomy places the organism in Eukaryota, Viridiplantae, Streptophyta, Magnoliopsida, Poales, Poaceae.
UCUCAUAUUGUGCCAACAUUAUUACUAAAGCAGCUUUUCUGGGUCCUUCGAGACCCUCCUGGUAUUAAAUACAAGUUCUUUUCUAUAAGAACAACCAACAUCCAUCAAACACCCAUCACUUUCUCUUUAUCCCUUCCUUCGACAUUCUCUGUUUUCCUGCCCCACCAAGUUAUAGGUGAGAAGGCAUGAGAGAAGAGUCCCCUCUUGCGUUGCUUGGAGAACUGAGCACUGUCAAGGAGGAGGAGGAGGUGGUGGUGGAGGAGCAUGACUAGCGGCGGCUGCAGGGUUCAAUUUCGAUCUAUAUAUGAUCAGAUCAUCCUCGUUCUUCAAACUUGAGGCCCUCGGAUCUGGUGCCAUGAAGUUGUUGUGUUUAGUCUACUAGUGUGCUAUUCAUAUGAAGUUAUGAACUCUUAUGUGAUUUGUUGUGUUUCGUCUACUAGUGUCCUAUUCAAAUGAACUCUUAUGUAUUGUUGUGUAGCUUGUUGCUUGGAUGUUGUCAUAAAUCAUAUCAUGUUGAGGUUUGGAGUGCCGCGGUAGUCCUAGUGCACUUUUGCUCAUCUCAUGAACUUAGUGUCAGGCCUGAACCGAUUAUGUAAUUGUGGUAAGAUGUUUUAGGCACCUGUCUAGUGUCGUUUCUAGAUUGUGCUAAGUAAUAUGCAACAUGUGAUUGUCUGCUUCUUUCUAAA